This 262-nucleotide ribosomal RNA is filed under the name uncultured bacterium. RNAcentral describes it as "partial 16S ribosomal RNA". It matches the Rfam family "Bacterial small subunit ribosomal RNA", at positions 335 to 589 of the family's 1533-position model. The record is from RNAcentral.
UAUCCUACGGGAGGCAGCAGUAGGGAAUCUUCCACAAUGGACGAAAGUCUGAUGGAGCAACGCCGCGUGAGUGAAGAAGGGUUUCGGCUCGUAAAGCUCUGUUGGUAGUGAAGAAAGAUAGAGGUAGUAACUGGCCUUUAUUUGACGGUAAUUACUUAGAAAGUCACGGCUAACUACGUGCCAGCAGCCGCGGUAAUACGUAUUGGGCAAGCGUUAUCCGGAUUUACUGGGGGUAAAGGGGGCGUAGGCGGCCUGGCAAGCC